CAGCAGCCGCGGGAAUACGGAGGGUGCAAGCGUUAUCCGGAUUUAUUGGGUUUAAAGGGUCCGUAGGCGGAUCUGUAAGUCAGUGGUGAAAUCUCACAGCUUAACUGUGAAACUGCCAUUGAUACUGCAGGUCUUGAGUAAAUUUGAAGUGGCUGGAAUAAGUAGUGUAGCGGUGAAAUGCAUAGAUAUUACUUAGAACACCAAUUGCGAAGGCAGGUCACUAAGAUUUAACUGACGCUGAUGGACGAAAGCGUGGGGAGCGAACAGGAUUAGAUACCCGCGUAGUCCCUGUCUCUUAUAU
RNAcentral lists this ribosomal RNA (301 nucleotides) under uncultured bacterium. RNAcentral describes it as "partial 16S ribosomal RNA". It matches the Rfam family "Bacterial small subunit ribosomal RNA", at positions 509 to 809 of the family's 1533-position model. The record is from RNAcentral.